ACUCUCUUAGUAUUAAUAAGUACAGUUGACUUCCAAUCAACUAGUCUCAGAUACUAACCCUGAGAGAGAGUA
This 72-nucleotide transfer RNA is filed under the name Glaucomys volans (southern flying squirrel). RNAcentral's name for it is "tRNA-Gly". Lineage: Eukaryota; Metazoa; Chordata; Mammalia; Rodentia; Sciuridae. The record is from RNAcentral.